UUGCAGUUCCUCAUAUAAUGUUGUCUCCCUUCUCUGUUUUUCUUCCAAUUUCAAUUUAUUUCUGUUUAUGUGUCUGUCACCAGAGUAAUGCUUCAGUGGAAGCUACUGUACUUAGGAAAGCAGACAAAACUCUUGUUCUCAGAAGAGGAGAAUGUAAACAGAAAAUUAAAUGAAAGAAUAGAAGCUGGCAAAAAAAGGCAAGCUGGACUACUUAUGGAGAUUGAAGACCUUGAGAGAAAGCUUACUCAGUCUGAAAAUGAAGUCAAAGCCCUGAGUGAAGAAGCAAGUAAGAAGGAAAAUGAUUACAGGAAUUAUAAUGAGGAUUUUAGUAACAAAAUGAAAUAUCUGGAGAAUGACAUCAAAUCUGCAACUGAAUAUCUACUUAAAAAAGAAGAAGAACUAAACAUAAGCAGGCUAACCUUGGAAGAAACCCAGAGGGAAAGAGAAGAGGAGUUUACAAAAUAUGAAGAACUGAAGAAAUCAUUUUUACGUAAGUGUUAAGUAGCUCCUCUACCUAGAGGAGCUUUCUCUUGCUGUUUCCAAAAUUGUCUGCCUAUGGCUCAAAUGAACUAUGAAGCGUAUAAAU
This 586-nucleotide long non-coding RNA is filed under the name Calidris pugnax (ruff). Its description in RNAcentral is "lncRNA (ENSCPUG00000001021.1)". Lineage: Eukaryota; Metazoa; Chordata; Aves; Charadriiformes; Scolopacidae. The record is from RNAcentral.